CUGGCUGGUAAAACGGCCUGUAUCUUCAUUUCAGUGGUGUUUCCAUGAAUCUACACCUGUGUUAAAAUAACAGAACUAUAUACAUACACGGCACUAACGUUAGUUUCCUGGUUUGACGUUGUGCUGUAUUUCUCUCAUUUGUAAUCACUGGGGGAAACCGGAUGAAGGGUGCACAGGACCUCUUUGUAAUUAUUUUUGCAACUUCCUGUGAAUCUAUCAUUAUUCCAAAAUAGAAGUUUAAAAAAACAGUUAAAUCAACAUCAAAUCAACUAUAAAUGAGUCAAGAUUUCUAGCUGGAGGAAACACAAGCGUGGGCAGGUGAGAAGAGGAUCCUACUAUUAAGCCAGACACUUGAACAUUUACGUCUCAUUUUGAUUUGCUGAGUUCUGCAUAGGAACAGGGAAGUCAGUGGUAAGCCUGUGAAGGGGACGGCAGCUGACAGCUGGCUAUUGAUCCCAAGAGGACCCAUGACUAACGUUCUCACGAAGCCAGGGAUGAGUCUCACGGGUGUCCAGGUCUGAGCAGUGUUACGUCAAAUGCACCCCAGGAGGAGGGACCUUCAGGACUCUGUCCACUCUGUCCUCCAUCCAGCAUCCUAAAUCUCAUCUAUUUGGCGAAUGUCAACACAUGUGAGUCCAAGACCCACGACAAUCAACGCCUCCACAACCGGCUCCUGGGAC
Symphalangus syndactylus (siamang) is the source of this 680-nucleotide long non-coding RNA. RefSeq lists it as uncharacterized. NCBI's taxonomy places the organism in Eukaryota, Metazoa, Chordata, Mammalia, Primates, Hylobatidae. The record is from RefSeq and is a predicted model, not a curated record.